Molecule: transfer RNA, 77 nt
Filed under: Rhodobacter sp. TJ_12
Lineage: Bacteria; Pseudomonadati; Pseudomonadota; Alphaproteobacteria; Rhodobacterales
Also listed under: 1 other name
Description: tRNA-Arg
Rfam family: tRNA
About the family: Transfer RNA (tRNA) molecules are approximately 80 nucleotides in length.
Source: RNAcentral
GGUCCCGUAGCUCAGCUGGAUAGAGCAGCUGCCUUCUAAGCAGCGGGUCGAGGGUUCGAGUCCUUCCGGGAUCGCCA